This is a long non-coding RNA of Echinops telfairi (small Madagascar hedgehog), 3500 nucleotides long. RefSeq lists it as uncharacterized. NCBI's taxonomy places the organism in Eukaryota, Metazoa, Chordata, Mammalia, Afrosoricida, Tenrecidae. The transcript is spliced from 5 exons. The record is from RefSeq and is a predicted model, not a curated record.
UUGGGCGUGGGAUGGCAGCUGGGCCCGGAGGGGACAGACUUCCAGGACAAUGUAGGGACUGGACUCGGCAGGAUCCUUGCAACUCUCUCCAGGGGCAGUCGGCCAAAUCCGUUCAGGAACCUUUGAGUUAGAAACGAGGAAAGGAGAGCCAGGAGGUCUACACUCUUUGGGAAAACAGAGCUUGAUGGGAGACCCUAACUCAUGACCUUUGGAACCAGGACUUCCUGGGCUGCAUUUAGGGGGUGUGACUCGAAGGUUCAGGCCCAGCUGGAGAUCUGCCAGAACCCAGGGAACAUUCAGAACCACAGGAGCCUGUUGGACUUCAGACCAGAGAAGCACAUGUUGCUACGGCAGCUGCCUCGGUAACUGGGGGGGCAGGCGGAACACGGCCUCCCCAUCUUGUAGGGAGCCUCCCCGAUCCAGUUGCCUCUGGAAGAGAAGGGAUCCCAGCAGGUGGGGGGGGGGGGGCAGGGGACAGUUACAAUACGAGCAACCUUCACACAGGCUGGGAUCUCCAAAUCUCACACUGCCACCUUGGGCCGGUCACUUCUGCAGGCCUCAGUUUCUAUCUGUAAAACCCAAACUAGACAUCCGCCCUCCCCACCCCCACCACACCUGCCACACAGGGGUAACGCCAUGGAUGGAUACACCUAGAACUACCCCACCACCUGCCAUCGGGUGGAUUCCCACUCGUGAUUCCCCGGGCGUUGUGGAGUGGAACUGCAACUGUAGGCUUUUCAAGAUGUGUGACCUUUUGGGGAAGCAGGACUUUCUUCGGAAGCCCUCUGGAUGAGUUUCAACUGCCAACCCUUUCACUGCAUAAUUUAAUGCUGAACUAUUUGCCCCACCCAGGGAUUCUGCACCUAGCACCCUGCUAACAAAUGUCUGUUGAGUUCUAGCCCUGGUUCUCCCCCAUCUGCUCACUGGGUGGGGUGUCAGAGACUACGCCGCUUCGUUUGUUAGCCUUGAUUUCAGCUUCUGAAUAGAAGAAAUCGUGUCUGUGAAUAUGCGGUGAAAUGCCUGAUUAAAAAAAACCAGUUUGUCAUUUACAAGAGGAGUCAUUAGAUGCCUAGCCCAACUCCAUCCUACCUGCUGCGGAAUCGAUCUUCCCAAAGAACACCAACCUCGUCACAUCCCUCUCCUGCUCAGGAACAUUCAGCGCCUUCCCCACGGUGUGUGCCAGAGUUGGCACCAGUGAAGGGUAGGGUGAGUAUACUGAACAUCGGACAGCACCGUCCAUUCCCUUUUGUCUGCGUUUCUAAGGGACAUCUACUUGAGGAACUCUCCUAGCCUCUUCCCACCCUGCAGCUGGGAGAAGCUAGAAGGAGCAGAGCAUGCUCAGUUCGAUCUUCCUUUCUCCUCUUUGGGCAUCCUGCACGUCUCCACCUUGCAGAGAGCCUGCCAGAAGGAGCUGGCUCUGCCCUUGGAACAGGAAGCCUGCUGUCUAGGGUUGUCUGUCACCGGAUCAAACUCACAGACACUAGGUCCAUUCUGCUGCACAGGACAGGGCAGACUGUCACUCUCUAGGAGGCCGAAGAGGCCUCAUCUUUCUUCCAAGGAGCAGCACUGCUGACCUUGCUGGUAGCAGUCCAAGGGGUCAUCCACUCACCCCCAGGGCGCCUUGGUGCUGCGUGGUUGCUGGGGCUGUGCUGGUAGGUGCUGUCCAGUCAGUUGUGACUCCAAGCCACGCCACACAUGACAGAAGGACCUCCCGGUCCCACGCCACCUUCCCAGCUGGCAUCAUGUUUGAGGUCAUUGCUGAAGCCACUGUGUCUAUCCACCUUGCCGAGCACCUUCCUCCUUUUCACUGCCCCUCUCUUUUACCAAGCAUGAUGUCGCUCUCCAGAGACUGGUCUCUCCUAACAACGCAUCCAAAGUGCACCAAGACCAAGCUAUCCUUGCCUACUGGGUGGGUGGGUCUACUUCCCCAGGGAGAUGUUUGCGAGUCCCUUUGGCUUCUGGACUGAAGGUCUGUGCUUUACAUCGGGCUCAUCAGUGAGGCUGCCUUGCACCCUGCCAGGCCCUUCUCUCCCCAGGUUGAUUCUGAAAUGUGAGUAAAGAUGAAGAACCCUCUUUCUAAAAUGACCCAGUCCUGUGGAGUGGGAUUUAUGGAGCAUGAAGAGAGGCUCGAUGUCUCGGAAGCAUAUUAGCUCACUGCUGUGGGGCCGAGCCCUACUCAUGACAGCCCUAGAGGACCAGGUAAGAUGGCCCGGGGAGUUUCCGAGGCUGUAAGCACCAUCUUUCUCCCGCUGAAGCAUGUUUGGGGAGUCACUAGAUGGCGUGAACUUGCAAUGCAUGUGUGUGCGCAGCGCAUCUCUGCGAUCUGCUUAUUGAAUUGCUAUGUGUGUGUGUGUGUGUGUAUCUCUCUCUGUUGCCCCCUGCCCAUUCCACCUCACCACCCACCCCUCAGGGCCCCUUACUUAAUGGCGUAGUGGCAGACCAGGUACACCGCCUGAUGCCAAGUGCUGCCCCAGACGCUGAUGCUGCCGCAGGUGUGGAUGGCACAACCCAACCGGUUGGAGGAGGCCCACACCAUCUGAGGGAAGACAGAGAUGAUGGGGAUAUGAUGAGAUAGGGCCCCUGUCCUUGGGCUGGGUGGCUCCCGGCCUUCUUGCCCCCAGGAUGAGGGGGCUGGAGGCAUCGUAUGGUUUAACCCACAGGGGUACCUGGGUGUAGUGGGAGCAGACGGGGCCGCUGCAGUGCCAAGGACAGUGUGGGUUACAGUCCCUCGGGGCCGGAAACACGUAAUGCUGCUUCUCCUCGGACCACGACUUCACGAGAUCCACCACUGAGCGGUGGGGCCACCGAGCCCCGGAAAGUGGAAAUCCCUUCCCAAGGCCACACCGUCUGAACUCAGGUCCCCUGGAGAACCAGGCAGCAGGAGGAGGUCAUGUCAAGUGUGGAUGUCACCAUCCUCAGGUCAUCCCGGGCAGGACUUGACUGGAUGGCAAUGAAGGAGGACAACGCCUAACUGGACUGCAGGCUCCACGCAGCCACGGCCCAGUCACCACUCUGUCCUGAUGCCUGGCUCAGAGAAGGGACCGAGCAAAGGGAGGGGCCGAGAAACACUCACCGGCCAGAGUGGAUGGAGAGGUUCUGGCCCACGUAUCGCAUCAGCUGCGAGGGCCCGUGGGCCCAGAUGCACUGGGUGGCCCAGGCUUCGGCGGACCUAGCCAGCCUCUCAUCCCAGACCUGGGGAAAGAAAGGUUGCAGAAGUCUCCAGGCUCACAGCAGUACCUUCUUACCUGUGCCCAGGACGCUCCUUCCCCCAGCUCCUUGGGCCGCACGACAGAUCCACUGGACACGUUGGAAAGCCGAGGCUCAGAGGAGAUGUAGAUCUUCAAGGUCAAUAGCACACCCACACCAGAACCAAGACUCACCCUGAGCAUCCGACUCAGGCCUCAGUGUUCUGCUUCCCUCAUGGGUCCUUAGGCCCAGAGGGGUGGUGGGAAAGCGGGAGGGGCCAACGGGGACGGAAGGUCUCUACGCUGAACCCCAAA